Molecule: long non-coding RNA, 430 nt
Filed under: Coturnix japonica (Japanese quail)
Lineage: Eukaryota; Metazoa; Chordata; Aves; Galliformes; Phasianidae
Description: lncRNA (ENSCJPG00005000302.1)
Source: RNAcentral
GGAUUUUCUUCUGUUACAGAACUUCAUCUUAUCUUUUCUACAGUCUUUUUUUUGUAAUAUUUUACAAUCUGAAAAGCUAAAAACAUCUAUAGAUCAUUUAUUUUCCUAUUUGCAAAUAAUAAAGCUAUAUGACGUUUACAGCAGCAGAUGGAGUCAGUUAAAGAGGAAUACCAUCAAUUUCUAUUAAGCUUCCAGAGGGAUUAAUUCACUUGUCAGCCAUGAAGUCCUACAAGUAGUUUUACUGACACAGCUGGUCUGGUGAUGAACCCCAGUUCAGCUAUUGGGAAAUACAAUUGCUUAAGUGUAAUGGCUUUCCAUAAGUAUUCCACAUGCAGUCUUGCAAUUUUUUUAUCUAAAUUGAGCUCCAACUCCACCUUUUCACUUCUCUGCUGGCUUCCUGCAGGGAACAAGUGGGUGAGGAAGCACCAAG